AACGAGGUUAGAGUCACUGGAUCGAGGGAAACCAUGAAUUUUCAGUGCUAAAAUCCUCGAAAAGAAAAUGUGAUCUUAUUCACUGGGCGGCCUGCCUUAUUCCUGCCUAGAACAGCGGAUUAACUCAGUCACCAGUUCACAUACAUAC
Small nucleolar RNA from Pocillopora damicornis (cauliflower coral), 148 nucleotides. RefSeq annotates it as small nucleolar RNA SNORA3/SNORA45 family. NCBI's taxonomy places the organism in Eukaryota, Metazoa, Cnidaria, Anthozoa, Scleractinia, Pocilloporidae. The record is from RefSeq and is a predicted model, not a curated record.